Molecule: ribosomal RNA, 406 nt
Filed under: uncultured bacterium
Lineage: Bacteria
Description: partial 16S ribosomal RNA
Rfam family: Bacterial small subunit ribosomal RNA
Source: RNAcentral
AUUGAACGCUGGCGGCAGGCCUAACACAUGCAAGUCGAACGAGUGGUGGACGGGUGAGCAAUGUCUGGGAAACUGCCUGAUGGAGGGGGAUCACUUCUGGAAACGGUAGCUAAUACCGCAUACCAUCCGAUUUGCUCAUUUGGGAUUAGCUAGUUGGUGGGGUAACGGCGCACCAAGGCGACGGUCCCUAGCUGGUAUGAGAGGAUGACCAGCCACACUGGAACUGGGACACGGUACAGACGCCUACGGGAGGCAGCAGUGGGGAAUAUUGCACAAUGAGCGGAAGCCUGAUGCAGCCAUGCCGCGUGUAUGAAGAAGGCCUUCGGGUUGUAAAGUACUUUCAGCGGGGAGGCGGUACCCGCAGAAGAAGCGCCGGCUAACUACGUGCCAGCAGCCGCGGUAAUUC